AUUGAACGCUGGCGGCAGGCUUAACACAUGCGAGUCGAGCGGGGUGAUGGUGCUUGCACUAUCACUUAGCGGCGGACGGGUGAGUAAUGCUUAGGAAUCUGCCUAUUAGUGGGGGACAACAUCUCGAAAGGGAUGCUAAUACCGCAUACGUCCUACGGGAGAAAGCAGGGGAUCACUUGUGACCUUGCGCUAAUAGAUGAGCCUAAGUCGGAUUAGCUAGUUGGUGGGGUAAAGGCCUACCAAGGCGACGAUCCGUAGCGGGUCUGAGAGGAUGAUCCGCCACACUGGGACUGAGACACGGCCCAGACUCCUACGGGAGGCAGCAGUGGGGAAUAUUGGACAAUGGGGGGAACCCUGAUCCAGCCAUGCCGCGUGUGUGAAGAAGGCCUUAUGGUUGUAAAGCACUUUAAGCGAGGAGGAGGCUCUUUUGGUUAAUACCCAAGAUGAGUGGACGUUACUCGCAGAAUAAGCACCGGCUAACUCUGUGCCAGCCGCCGCAGUAA
RNAcentral lists this ribosomal RNA (503 nucleotides) under uncultured bacterium. RNAcentral's name for it is "partial 16S ribosomal RNA". It matches the Rfam family "Bacterial small subunit ribosomal RNA", at positions 30 to 523 of the family's 1533-position model. The record is from RNAcentral.